GUGGGUGUAGCUCAGUGGUAGAGUGCUUGCUUAGCAUGCAUGGGGCCCUGGGUUCCAUCCCCAGUACUACA
This 71-nucleotide transfer RNA is filed under the name Heterocephalus glaber (naked mole-rat). It matches the Rfam family "tRNA". From Rfam's summary of the family: Transfer RNA (tRNA) molecules are approximately 80 nucleotides in length. Their secondary structure includes four short double-helical elements and three loops (D, anti-codon, and T loops). Lineage: Eukaryota; Metazoa; Chordata; Mammalia; Rodentia; Bathyergidae. The record is from Rfam by way of RNAcentral.